CUCCUCUGAGGUUAUCGGCGGAAGGGUGAGUAACACGUGGAUAACCUACCUAUAAGACUGGGAUAACUUCGGGAAACCGGAGCUAAUACCGGAUAAUAUAUUGAACCGCAUGGUUCAAUAGUGAAAGACGGUUUUGCUGUCACUUAUAGAUGGAUCCGCGCCGCAUUAGCUAGUUGGUAAGGUAACGGCUUACCAAGGCAACGAUGCGUAGCCGACCUGAGAGGGUGAUCGGCCACACUGGAACUGAGACACGGUCCAGACUCCUACGGGAGGCAGCAGUAGGGAAUCUUCCGCAAUGGGCGAAAGCCUGACGGAGCAACGCCGCGUGAGUGAUGAAGGUCUUCGGAUCGUAAAACUCUGUUAUUAGGGAAGAACAAAUGUGUAAGUAACUAUGCACGUCUUGACGGUACCUAAUCAGAAAGCCACGGCUAACUACGUGCCAGCAGCCGCGGUAAUACGUAGGUGGCAAGCGUUAUCCGGAAUUAUUGGGCGUAAAGCGCGCGUAGGCGGUUUUUUAAGUCUGAUGUGAAAGCCCACGGCUCAACCGUGGAGGGUCAUUGGAAACUGGAAAACUUGAGUGCAGAAGAGGAAAGUGGAAUUCCAUGUGUAGCGGUGAAAUGCGCAGAGAUAUGGAGGAACACCAGUGGCGAAGGCGACUUUCUGGUCUGUAACUGACGCUGAUGUGCGAAAGCGUGGGGAUCAAACAGGAUUAGAUACCCUGGUAGUCCACGCCGUAAACGAUGAGUGCUAAGUGUUAGGGGGUUUCCGCCCCUUAGUGCUGCAGCUAACGCAUUAAGCACUCCGCCUGGGGAGUACGACCGCAAGGUUGNNNCNNNUGNNGUAGAGUAUGAUGUGGUCGAGCGACAGAGGAGGAGGUUGCUCCUCUGAGGUUAUCGGCGGAAGGGUGAGUAACACGUGGAUAACCUACCUAUAAGACUGGGAUAACUUCGGGAAACCGGAGCUAAUACCGGAUAAUAUAUUGAACCGCAUGGUUCAAUAGUGAAAGACGGUUUUGCUGUCACUUAUAGAUGGAUCCGCGCCGCAUUAGCU
This 1050-nucleotide ribosomal RNA is filed under the name Staphylococcus epidermidis. RNAcentral describes it as "bacterial SSU rRNA". It matches the Rfam family "Bacterial small subunit ribosomal RNA". The record is from RNAcentral. Lineage: Bacteria; Bacillati; Bacillota; Bacilli; Caryophanales; Staphylococcaceae.